CCCUUAGAUGUUCUGGGCCGCACGCGCGCUACACUGACUACUUCAACGAGUUGUUUCCUUGAUCGAAAGGUCUGGGUAAUCUUUGAAAGGUAGUCGUGAUGGGGAUAGAUCCUUGCAAUUUUUGAUCUUCAACGAGGAAUUCCUAGUAAACGCAAGUCAUCAGCUUGCAUUGAUUACGUCCCUGCCCUUUGUACACACCGCCCGUCGCGCCUACCGAUUGAAUGGUCCGGUGAAUCUUUAGGACUGUGGCUGAGGCCUUGCCUUGUGCGGGUCUGGCCGUGGGAAUUUAGUUAAACCUUACCAUUUAGAGGAAGGUGAAGUCGUAACA
This 328-nucleotide ribosomal RNA is filed under the name uncultured eukaryote. RNAcentral's name for it is "partial 18S ribosomal RNA". It matches the Rfam family "Eukaryotic small subunit ribosomal RNA", at positions 1470 to 1796 of the family's 1831-position model. The record is from RNAcentral.